GUGGGGAAUUUUGGACAAUGGGGGCAACCCUGAUCCAGCCAUGCCGCGUGAGUGAAGAAGGCCUUCGGGUUGUAAAGCUCUUUCGGCCGGGAAGAAAUCGUAUGGGUUAAUACCCUGUGCGGAUGACGGUACCGGCAUAAGAAGCACCGGCUAACUACGUGCCAGCAGCCGCGGUAAUACGUAGGGUGCGAGCGUUAAUCGGAAUUACUGGGCGUAAAGCGUGCGCAGGCGGUUUUGUAAGACAGGCGUGAAAUCCCCGGGCUCAACCUGGGAACUGCGCUUGUGACUGCAAGGCUAGAGUAUGGCAGAGGGGGGUGGAAUUCCACGUGUAGCAGUGAAAUGCGUAGAGAUGUGGAGGAACACCAAUGGCGAAGGCAGCCCCCUGGGCCAAUACUGACGCUCAUGCACGAAAGCGUGGGUAGCAAACAGGAUUAGAAACCCCUGUAGUCC
RNAcentral lists this ribosomal RNA (450 nucleotides) under uncultured bacterium. Its description in RNAcentral is "bacterial SSU rRNA". It matches the Rfam family "Bacterial small subunit ribosomal RNA", at positions 354 to 796 of the family's 1533-position model. The record is from RNAcentral.